GAUGAACGCUGGCGGCGUGCCUAAUACAUGCAAGUCGAACGCUGGAGAUCUAGCUUGCUAGAUCGAAGGAGUGGCGAACGGGUGAGUAAUACAUAAGCAACCUACCCACGAAGACUGGGAUAAUCUCUGGAAACGGGGACUAAUACCGGAUAGGUAAUCGGAAGGCAUCUUCUGAUUAUUAAAGGUUAAAAACACUGGUGGAUGGGCUUAUGGCGCAUUAGUUAGUUGGUGAGGUAACGGCCCACCAAGACGAUGAUGCGUAGCCGGCCUGAGAGGGUGAACGGCCACAUUGGGACUGAGACACGGCCCAGACUCCUACGGGAGGCAGCAGUAGGGAAUUUUCGGCAAUGGGGGAAACCCUGACCGAGCAACGCCGCGUGAGUGAUGACGGCCUUCGGGUUGUAAAGCUCUGUUGUAAGGGAAGAACGGUAGAUAGAGAAUAUCUAAGUGACGGUACCUUACCAGAAAGCCACGGCUAACUACGUGCCAGCAGCCGCGGUAAUACGUAGGUGGCGAGCGUUAUCCGGAAUUAUUGGGCGUAAAGGGUGCGUAGGCGGCCUGUUAAGUAAGUGGUUAAAUUGUUGGGCUCAACCCAAUCCAGCCACUUAAACUGGCAGGCUAGAGUAUUGGAGAGGCAAGUGGAAUUCCAUGUGUAGCGGCAAAAUGCGUAGAUAUAUGGAGGAACACCAGUGGCGAAGGCGGCUUGCUAGCCAAAGACUGACGCUCAUGCACGAAAGCGUGGGGAGCAAAUAGG
Molecule: ribosomal RNA, 754 nt
Filed under: uncultured Bulleidia sp.
Lineage: Bacteria; Bacillati; Bacillota; Erysipelotrichia; Erysipelotrichales; Erysipelotrichaceae
Description: bacterial SSU rRNA
Rfam family: Bacterial small subunit ribosomal RNA
Source: RNAcentral